Molecule: long non-coding RNA, 1284 nt
Organism: Panicum virgatum (switchgrass)
Lineage: Eukaryota; Viridiplantae; Streptophyta; Magnoliopsida; Poales; Poaceae
Exons: 2
Source: RefSeq, a predicted model, not a curated record
UUUUUUCUAUGCGUUUUGUGAUGUCAUUAGCAUGCGGUUCAUAGAUUUGCUUGAACAACUUAGUUCAGUAAUUUAUUUGAACAUAUUUAGUUUCAGUAACAUGGGGGCAUGUAGAAAAUGGAUUUUACGUAUUUUCUCAUAGGAUCCUAUAUGUGCUUUCACGCAUAACGUGGCGGUAGUCUAGCUAAAUUUAAAUUCUAUUCAUUUCAGUAAUUAACAUUGUUCAGUAAUCAUAUUCAGUAAUAUUGUUUAUAUAAUUCAGUAGCCAAUCUGUUGCAUUCAGAUUUAGUUCUUUUUCCAAGUAAUCUGUUUCCUUCAUGGCUCUUUUUCUUUUUGCAAGUUCCUUGGCCAUUGUUUGAUGGUCGAUGAGAAUGAACUAAAUCCCGCACAUUCAGUAUGUCAUCUUUGUUAGUAUUUCAGUAAUUCUAUAUUAGUAAAAUCCCCUGCUACUACACACCUCAGUAACAGAGUAAUUCCAUCUUAGUAUUUCCUCCAUCCUAUUUUGUAGUAUUUUCAGUAAUUCUCUAUUACUAAAACCCCUGCUACUACGUACCUCAGUAUUGAGUAGUUAGGCCUGUAGUAUCAGUAAUUUGUUAGUUUAGUAGUUAGACCAGUAUUUUUUUUCGACUCUUUGAGCACUGAUGAUAUGAACCGAGUAGGUAGUCUAGUAGUUUAGUAAUGAAAUACUAGACUAUUGAGCUGCAUGAGAUUGAAAUAGAGCUCAGUAACUAAAACUACUGAAACUAAAAAAACUACUAAGCUCGUGCAAUUUUAUAUUCAGUAACUCAACAUAGUUUGAAUAGGCUAAUUCCUAAAUCAUCUAGAGCCAGAUACUCAACAUAGUUUGAAUAUGCUAAUUACUGAAUCAUCUGCACAUUUUUUUACCUAUAUAUAUGUUCUAGGUUUUUUCGGGGUAUGUUGGAAAUGGAGACACGCUAAACCCGUCAAGCUAGUCAUUAAACAAGCAACGACGCUGACAAAUUGAGAGUUUUACCGGUGGUAGGUUUAUGUGACAAUAACACCCCUUUCUGACUCAUCGUCUUAUGCAUACGACAGCGAUAGUACUGAAUUUCACAAGAGAGAGGGGUUCCAAGUGAAGAGAAAGAUACUUUAUGUGUUUUUAAGGCUUUUUUAUUUUUGGAGGUUGCAUGAGAUAGUUAAUCAUAACUAAUAUGUGUACAUAUGCGUAGUCACCACCCAACUAUAUGUAUAUCCUUGGAUUCAGUAAUCCAGUAAUUAUGUACAUGUACUAUUCGGCAUUAUGUACUUUUUCCAGUAAUUUCU